RNAcentral lists this long non-coding RNA (1383 nucleotides) under Cyanistes caeruleus (blue tit). RNAcentral describes it as "lncRNA (ENSCCEG00000013983.1)". The record is from RNAcentral. Lineage: Eukaryota; Metazoa; Chordata; Aves; Passeriformes; Paridae.
CUGUUGGUAUUUACUGAACAUAAUUUACAGUAAUUCCUUUAUUCUUUCUUUGUCUAACCAAUAAUUAUCUUUGUAAUAGGUAGUAGAAUCGUGAACUGAACAAAACUGUACACAUUAAGUGUUCACAACAUUUCUAUUUGUCUUUUGUUUCUGUAGGAAUCCAAAACAAAGUUAAUCUGAUCAACAGGGAUCAAUAGAAAAUGUUGUCAUUAGGUCCACAAGCUGAAGGACAUCUCAGUACGUGGGACUGCACCCGUGUGAGCUGGCUACCUCUGGAAGAGACACCAGCCAAUUCUUCAGCCUCUAUCUACUUGGUGCCUUUACCUGAAAAGCUGGUAGUGGACUGGGCUGCAGAGGGCCCUUCUGUCAACUUUUGUGACUGAGGAAUGCUUAAGACGAUGUAGGAUGGGUCCACCACCCUGAGUCACAGGUGAGUAACACACAGCAGCAGGGCAGGGACUUGCCAGCCAGGAUUCUGUUACACCAUUUCCAGGGUCUAGAGGUGGCAAGGAGGCCAGUUGGGAGUUAGAGCGCUUGCCAUUGUUUGGUAAUGAGUCAAGUCCAAGAAUGUAAAUCCAGUCUUGUGGUAGCAGCCAGGUCUUACUCAGCUGGGUGAGCACCAGACAGGUCCUGGAGUUAGAUGGCAGGUCUGAGGUCAAGCUGGGAAGUCAGUGCAUGGAUCCGAGCCCAGUCCAGCAGACUGCAUAGCUGAGCAUAGCAGUGACAGACCUGGAGAUGGGCACACUUAGUGCAUAGCUCAGGCAGGAAGAAAUGGCCCCAUUGAUUUGGAACGGGGCCCCAGUGUGUGUGUGGGCAACCACGCAGGGCUAUGUGCCUAGGACCUACAAGUGCCCUUAGGGCCUUGAUCAGCUCAUGGGAUGGUGGCUGGCCAGUAAUCAGAGAGCAGCACUAGCAGGUGGAUCUUAGCUGGAAGGUGCAGUACUGGACAGAAGGAAGGAUGGAAAGAAGGUCCCUCUGGCUCAUGGUGAGGCAGCCAACCAGGCUGGACAGAGGAAAGCACAUUGGGCUCCCAUUUUGAUGAAGCUGAUGGCAGUGCUUUUAUGGCUAGCAGGACGAUGACGUUUUCACUCUGUUUCUGUCUACUACCUUGGCUUGUGAAAAUACACCUUGCAGUAGGCCUCUACUGUCAAUCACCAUUAACUUGUUUGAGGUAGAAGAAGUUCUUAUAAAUCUUCUCCUGACUUCUUCUAUCCCAGCUCCUGAUUCCUUUAUUUCAUGUUCAGCUAGAGUCUAUUUGGCAAUGAAAUAAUUAAUAUUAAAUAUUUAUAAUCAAUAUGUCCACUUCCAUAUAUCUUACAGAAGGAACUGAGGAUUGAUUGCUUGUUCUCUUUAUCUUGAUGUUAAUUUUGUUUUUAUCUUUCC